This 83-nucleotide transfer RNA is filed under the name Oryctolagus cuniculus (rabbit). It matches the Rfam family "tRNA". From Rfam's summary of the family: Transfer RNA (tRNA) molecules are approximately 80 nucleotides in length. Their secondary structure includes four short double-helical elements and three loops (D, anti-codon, and T loops). Further hydrogen bonds mediate the characteristic L-shaped molecular structure. tRNAs have two regions of fundamental functional importance: the anti-codon, which is responsible for specific mRNA codon recognition, and the 3' end, to which the tRNAs corresponding amino acid is attached (by aminoacyl-tRNA synthetases). tRNAs cope with the degeneracy of the genetic code in two manners: having more than one tRNA (with a specific anti-codon) for a particular amino acid; and 'wobble' base-pairing, i.e. permitting non-standard base-pairing at the 3rd anti-codon position. The record is from Rfam by way of RNAcentral. Lineage: Eukaryota; Metazoa; Chordata; Mammalia; Lagomorpha; Leporidae.
GGGGCUGUGGUGUAGUGGGUUAAAGCCUCAGCCUGCAGUGCUGACAUCCCAAAUUGGCAUGGGUUCGAGUCCCAGCUGCUCCA